UGAGGAAUAUUGGUCAAUGGGCGAAAGCCUGAACCAGCCAUGCCGCGUGCAGGAUGACUGCCCUAUGGGUUGUAAACUGCUUUUAUACAGGAAUAAACCCCCGGACGUGUCCGGGGCUGAAGGUACUGUAAGAAUAAGGAUCGGCUAACUCCGUGCCAGCAGCCGCGGUAAUACGGAGGAUCCAAGCGUUAUCCGGAUUCAUUGGGUUUAAAGGGUCCGCAGGCGGGGUAUUAAGUCAGUGGUGAAAGCCGGCAGCUUAACUGUCGAAUUGCCAUUGAUACUGGUACUCUUGAGUGUAGUUGAAGUAGGCGGAAUAAGUCAUGUAGCGGUGAAAUGCAUAGAUAUGACUUAGAACACCGAUUGCGAAGGCAGCUUACUAAGCUAUUACUGACGCUCAUGGACGAAAGCGUGGGGAGCGAACAGG
RNAcentral lists this ribosomal RNA (424 nucleotides) under uncultured bacterium. RNAcentral's name for it is "bacterial SSU rRNA". It matches the Rfam family "Bacterial small subunit ribosomal RNA", at positions 355 to 776 of the family's 1533-position model. The record is from RNAcentral.